UACAGAGGGUGCAAGCGUUGCUCGGAAUUAUUGGGCGUAAAGGGUAGGUAGGUGGUCUCAUUUGUCCGAGGUGAAAUCCUGGGGCUUAACUUCAGAAGUGCCUUGGAAACGGUGAGACUAGAGUGCUGGAGAGGGUCGUGGAAUUCCCGGUGUAGCGGUGAAAUGCGUAGAGAUCGGGAGGAACACCAGAGGCGAAGGCGACGGCCUGGACAGCGACUGACACUCAACUACGAAAGCGUGGGGAUCAAACAGG
RNAcentral lists this ribosomal RNA (253 nucleotides) under uncultured bacterium. Its description in RNAcentral is "partial 16S ribosomal RNA". It matches the Rfam family "Bacterial small subunit ribosomal RNA", at positions 524 to 776 of the family's 1533-position model. The record is from RNAcentral.